GUAUUUGGAGCCUGUCUCCGUGCGAGCCUCUUUAGGAGAAGGAAUUCUCUGAUGUCUUCGUCUUGCUUCCAUUGUUCAUCCCUUGCUCUACUUCCUGCAUUCUGAUCGUACCAAGCAACAGUCAGCACACGAUAUGGUAGGAUAGCAACUGCCACCUCUUCCACUGAAACAAACAAAAUGAAAUAAAAUUAUUACAGAACACUUGUGUCAAAGGUUUCUGAACCACGCCUCCUUCCAAAGUUGUUUGUUUAGUUUCUGGUUUAUACACUAUAAAAAGUGCCGAAGGAUACUUGAAACUGUUUCUCAACCAAGAUGCCUAAUCCAAAACAAGUUUCAACUUUCAACUGCAUUUGGGCUUUUGGGAUGGCUUGUUCUUUCUGGAGUUUUGUGAAGUCCGGAUUUGGGUCUUGUUAAAGGUGGUGAUUGCGGGGAAACGCUGUAGAGCAUCAUGGCCGUGAGAUCGCACUCCACCUGAAUCUUUCUUUUCUUCGAGACAACCCUUGGCACGUGUUUUGGCACAAACUUUGCGAUGUCACCACCUUAGAUGUCGUGUGUAUAUUAUAUAUAUAUAUAUACACACACACACGUGUGUGUGUGUGUGUGUGUGUGAAAGCCGAAUACUUUCUUUUUCUUCUUUUUGUGCUUUUGCACGUUUUCUCUUCUUUUUACGUACCCCAAUUUAAGCGGCGGUUGGGAGAUGGGGCCGAGGAAGAGGAGAGUGGAUAACACACAGCGAUAAAAGAUUGCAUGUGAUGGAAGCAUUUGGGCUGGAUUGCUGCUGCAGUGACGAAUUUGCAUACCCAACCACAUGGACAAUCCAUCUCCUUCUAUUCAGUAAUUUUUCAGUACUCAACUAUUCGCAAGCGGGCUUUGUCGAUGGGCUUACAGGCACUUCACAUCCAAGGCUUCGUCUGCAAUAACGCUCGCAGGUUUGAUUUCAUGCUCUGAAAACAGUUUUUGCUUUUCAUUGUUGGCAAUUAGCGUUAUGUGAGCGCAUUCACCCUCGAUCUAGUGGAGAUGCCGGCAAGACCUAGGUUGUGGAGGUGAUUUUUCAUCAAAUAUCCUCUUAUCAAGGGUGAGCAAAUAAAUAGUUUGAUUUGUUAUAUUUAAAAAUCAAAUAAAUCAAAUAUUUUAAAAAAAAUAAGUCAAAAUCGAUUAAAUAUAAAUGAUCAAAUCCAUCAAAUAUAAAAUUAGUUUGAUCGAUUUGUUUUGUAUCAAUAGAUCAAAAUUUUAUCACUAUUUUUUUAUAAAUUAUAAUAUUAAAAUUUAAAAACUUUAUUUAUAUAAAAUAUAUAAAUUAUGUAUAAAUUAAAUAUAUGUAUGAAUAUAAUAUAUUACUUUAUUAUAUAUAUGAAAUUAAUGACACAAUUUAUAUGUUAUAAUAUUUUAAGUUUUAUAUCAAACUUUGUAUAAAUAAUAACUAAGUAUAAACAAUAUGUUAUAAAAAUUAAAAUGAUAACUAACAAAAUUAUUAAGUGUAAUCAUAUAAAUAAAAUUUAUUAUAAAUUACAGUAAUAUUUAUGUAUAAAUUAAAUAUAUAUAUUAUUUUAUUACGUAUAUAUGAAAUUAAUGGUACAACUUAUAUGAUAUAAUGUUUUAUAUCAAAAUUUGUAUAAAUAAUAACUAAUUAUAAACAAUAUGUUAUAAAAACUAUAAUGAUGAUUAAUAAGAUCAUUAAGUGUAAUCAUAUAAAUAAAGUUUAUUAUAAAUUAUAUAAAUACUUAUGCAUAAAUUAAAUAUAUAUAUAUAUAUAAUAUUUAUACUAUUAUAUAUUAUUCAUAACAUUUUAUAUUACAAAACAUUACUAAAAUAUAAUAAUUAUAACAUAUUAAUAUAUAUGAUAUUUACUAUCAUCUAUUAUAAUAUUAAUAUAUAAAUUAUAUCUUUUAAAAUAUAUAAUUUAUAAUUUCAUAUUAAUAUAGAUUUAUAAAUAAAUAAAUAUAUAAAAUUAAAAUUAAAUUAUUAUGAUUAUGAUUUGUAUACGUAUAUAUAAAAAAUUAAUAUAUUUUAAAUAUUUUAUUAAUUAAAUUUAUUAUCGAUUCUUUUUAAUAUAUAUAAAAAAUUAAUUUAAUUUUUUGAGUAGAUUGAUCUAAAAUUUUUAAAAUCAAAAACCGAUCAAAAAGCCAAUUGAAUCAAACAUUUUAAACCAAUUGAUUCCAUAGACUAAUUAAAUUAAAUCGUUUUAUCCAAAUCGCAUUUAAUUUGAGUAGAUAAUUAAUUUGAUUUGAUUUUACUCACCCUUACCUCUUCCGGUUCUCUCCUGCUAAUGCCAAUCUUUCUCCUAAUUCACUAUUUUUUAUUUAGGCAUGCUGAAUUUAUCUG
RNAcentral lists this long non-coding RNA (2322 nucleotides) under Theobroma cacao (cacao). RNAcentral's name for it is "long non-coding RNA (TCAC_LNC002149)". Lineage: Eukaryota; Viridiplantae; Streptophyta; Magnoliopsida; Malvales; Malvaceae. The record is from RNAcentral.